This is a long non-coding RNA of Erigeron canadensis, 993 nucleotides long. RefSeq lists it as uncharacterized. The transcript has 5 exons. The record is from RefSeq and is a predicted model, not a curated record. NCBI's taxonomy places the organism in Eukaryota, Viridiplantae, Streptophyta, Magnoliopsida, Asterales, Asteraceae.
GGUUGAUACAACCGGUUACAAUUUAUAAGACAAUUAUAAGCUAAAUUUGGAAACAUAUCAACUAAAUUUUCUAGUCGAUUCUUUUCUUGGAGUAAUGCCCAAGUUCAGAGCUAAUAGAGGAAAUGAUGACUCGGAUACUGAUCCUCAAAUCUUCUUUUCUAACAAUAUGAAGCAUGUUUUGCAUUUAAAUGAUAAGAAGGAAGGAUUGAAGAGCAACAAGACUUCAGAUUUUUCAUUAUCAACAAGGAGCAUGUUUUAUUUCAUUAGUAUAUCCUUCAAAUUUCAACUACGUAAAUGGCGUAUCGAUGGUUUCAACAACAAGUGGGCUUAGCAAAAGUUGCAGCGGGGGCUGUAAAAAAUCGUAAGAAUAUGUUUUAAAUGUUUUUUUUCUGUGUUUGUUACUAAUCUUUUGUUCAGUGAUUUCCUUAAGGUACGAGUUUGUUUGUAAUUAUCCAUCCAAGGUAUGUUUUAUGGGUUUUGAUUUUUUUUUCUUCCUAAUUUGGUUGUUGUGUACAUUUACUUUUCCUAAACUAUUAUAUAAUCUUAAAUGUUCUAUUUUGUUGAUAUCAUAUAUGAAACAUGGAAGAAGCAGGGGCAUGAGGAAUUGAGGAGACUGAGAAAUCCAAUUGAUGUUCUCUGUAAGUUAAGAGAUUUGAUUGAGAUUACCUGGAUCAUGGUGAUGCUUGUGGUUUUACCUGGAGAAUGUAAUUAACAUAUAUCAACAAUAUCUCUUGAGUACAACCCUCACGAAAAGAUAUCCUUUACAUACAUUGUUUCAGAAGACAUUACAUUUUGAUUGGAAACCAGGUGUUGUAUGAUAAGAAAGGAUGACGUUGGAAGAAAAAGAAAAUGUUCAUAUUUUUCAUUAAGAACAAGCUCUCAGUAAUAUAGUUCAGUAUCAUCAUCAGUAAUCAGAUUGGACUUCAGUAAUCUUGCAUCAGUAUCAUCAUUCAGUCUCGCUACUUUUUCAGUAAUGGUACUUCAAUAUUUGAC